Long non-coding RNA from Thalassophryne amazonica, 204 nucleotides. RefSeq lists it as uncharacterized. The record is from RefSeq and is a predicted model, not a curated record. NCBI's taxonomy places the organism in Eukaryota, Metazoa, Chordata, Actinopteri, Batrachoidiformes, Batrachoididae. The transcript has 3 exons.
AUUCUGAAAGAGGAACUCUUACGAUGCAGACGUAGAGACACCAUUUGAAGCUGUCCUAAAGUCCUGUCUGGUCCCUGGCCUGAGGUCAGAAGUCUGUCAGGGAGUCGAACAAACCCUGAUUGGAGGAUGGGCUGACAACCAAGUGAAAGAAAUCUUGAAACAUGCAUGUCAUGCUGAAGGAAAGGAGGUGAGGAAAGCCACCAA